This 521-nucleotide ribosomal RNA is filed under the name uncultured bacterium. RNAcentral describes it as "bacterial LSU rRNA". It matches the Rfam family "Bacterial large subunit ribosomal RNA", at positions 891 to 1408 of the family's 2925-position model. The record is from RNAcentral.
GUGUGAUGGCCGUAAAGCACUGAUUGGACUAGGGGGCCCUACCAGGUUACCGACUUCAGUCAAACUCUGAAGACCAUCACAGUUAGCUCGGCAGUCAGCGUAUGGGGGAUAAACUUCAUAUGCGAGAGGGGAACAACCCAGACCAUCAGUUAAGGUCCCUAAGUACUAGCUAAGUGGUAAACGAUGUCCGAAUGCAUAGACAACCAAGAGGUUGGCUUAGAAGCAGCCACCCUUGAAAGAGUGCGUAACAGCUCACUGGUCAAGUGUUCGGGCGCGGAUAAUGUAGCGGGGCUAAAGCUAGUCACCGAAACUAUGGGUGUGUACGCCUGCGGGCAGUACACGCGGUAGGAGAGCGUUCUCAGUGUGUAAGCGUUGGCGUAAGCCUUCGUGCGGUGCUGAGAAGUGAGAAUGCCGGCAUGAGUAACGAAGAAGAGUGAGAAUCUCUUCCACUGAUUGUCCGAGGUUUCCUGAGUAAAGUUCGUCUGCUCAGGGUUAGUCGGGACCUAAGGCGAGGCCGGAAA